UGGUGGAGUGAUUUGUCUGCUUAAUUGCGAUAACGAACGAGACCUUAACCUGCUAAAUAGCCCGGCCCGCUUUUGCGGGUCGCCGGCUUCUUAGAGGGACUAUCGGAUUUCAAGUCGAUGGAAGUUUGAGGCAAUAACA
RNAcentral lists this ribosomal RNA (139 nucleotides) under uncultured eukaryote. RNAcentral's name for it is "partial 18S ribosomal RNA". It matches the Rfam family "Eukaryotic small subunit ribosomal RNA", at positions 1299 to 1458 of the family's 1831-position model. The record is from RNAcentral.